This 465-nucleotide ribosomal RNA is filed under the name uncultured Klebsiella sp. Its description in RNAcentral is "bacterial SSU rRNA". It matches the Rfam family "Bacterial small subunit ribosomal RNA", at positions 338 to 795 of the family's 1533-position model. Lineage: Bacteria; Pseudomonadati; Pseudomonadota; Gammaproteobacteria; Enterobacterales; Enterobacteriaceae. The record is from RNAcentral.
CCUACGGGAGGCAGCAGUGGGGAAUAUUGCACAAUGGGCGCAAGCCUGAUGCAGCCAUGCCGCGUGUGUGAAGAAGGCCUUCGGGUUGUAAAGCACUUUCAGCGGGGAGGAAGGCGUUAAGGUUAAUAACCUUGGCGAUUGACGUUACCCGCAGAAGAAGCACCGGUUAACUCCGUGCCAGCAGCCGCGGUAAUACGGAGGGUGCAAGCGUUAAUCGGAAUUACUGGGCGUAAAGCGCACGCAGGCGGUCUGUCAAGUCGGAUGUGAAAUCCCCGGGCUCAACCUGGGAACUGCAUUCGAAACUGGCAGGCUAGAGUCUUGUAGAGGGGGGUAGAAUUCCAGGUGUAGCGGUGAAAUGCGUAGAGAUCUGGAGGAAUACCGGUGGCGAAGGCGGCCCCCUGGACAAAGACUGACGCUCAGGUGCGAAAGCGUGGGGAGCAAACAGGAUUAGAUACCCGUGUAGUC